UAGGGAAUCUUCCGCAAUGGGCGAAAGCCUGACGGAGCAACGCCGCGUGAGUGAUGAAGGUCUUCGGAUCGUAAAACUCUGUUAUUAGGGAAGAACAAAUGUGUAAGUAACUAUGCACGUCUUGACGGUACCUAAUCAGAAAGCCACGGCUAACUACGUGCCAGCAGCCGCGGUAAUACGUAGGUGGCAAGCGUUAUCCGGAAUUAUUGGGCGUAAAGCGCGCGUAGGCGGUUUUUUAAGUCUGAUGUGAAAGCCCACGGCUCAACCGUGGAGGGUCAUUGGAAACUGGAAAGCUGGAGUGCAGAAGAGGAAAGUGGAAUUCCAUGUGUAGCGGUGAAAUGCGCAGAGAUAUGGGGGAACACCAGUGGCGAAGGCGACUUUCUGGUCUGUAACUGACGCUGAUGUGCGAAAGCGUGGGGAUCAAACAGG
RNAcentral lists this ribosomal RNA (429 nucleotides) under Actinomycetes bacterium. Its description in RNAcentral is "Actinobacteria bacterium partial 16S ribosomal RNA". It matches the Rfam family "Bacterial small subunit ribosomal RNA", at positions 355 to 776 of the family's 1533-position model. The record is from RNAcentral. Lineage: Bacteria; Bacillati; Actinomycetota; Actinomycetes.